Molecule: long non-coding RNA, 1084 nt
Filed under: Monodelphis domestica (gray short-tailed opossum)
Lineage: Eukaryota; Metazoa; Chordata; Mammalia; Didelphimorphia; Didelphidae
Description: lncRNA (ENSMODG00000044677.1)
Source: RNAcentral
AUGUGUCUUCCUAACUCUAAGCCCAGUGCUCUAGCGCUGCCCCAUCUAGCUACCUCUCCGUCCUUUCUCUCUCUGUCUGUCUCUGUCUGUCUCUCUCCUCUCUCUCCAUUUCUAUGUCUCUCUGUCUGUCUGUCUCUCUUCUCUCUGUCUCUGCUUCUGUCUGUCUGUCUCCCUUCUUUCUGUCUCUCUCCUCUCUCCAUUUCUGUCUCUCUUCUCUCUGUCUCUGUCUCUCUGUCUCUGCUUCUGUCUGUCUGUCUCCCUUCUUUCUGUCUCUCUGUCUCUCUCUCUCUCAAUCCAUAUGUGUAUACACACAUAUCUCUGUGUCUACAUAGUUUGCAAGUUCUCCCCCAUUUGACUGUGAUCUCCUUGAGACCAGGAACAGUUUUUGCUUUUCUUUGUAUAUCUAGAGCUCAGUAUAGUCCCUGGCAUACAACAAGUGCUUAAUGCAUGCUUUUUGCUUGAUAAGUUCUUUGCACAAUCUCCCAUAAUCACAGAGCUGAAAGGGACCUCAGAGUCCAUCUCAUCCAACUCAUCCCUGCAGAAGUCUGCCCUUGGCAGUGGACCAGUAGCAACCCAAAGUCUGUCUGAAGCCUCCAGUGGGAGGAAAUGCAUUUCUUUUCAGAGUCAGUCCGUUCUCCUUUAGGACUGCUCUGAUUAUUAAAAGUGUGUGAAAAGCCCAGAUUUGCCCCCUACACCUGUCAUCCAUUGAUCCUAGUUUUGCCUUCUGGGGCCAAGCAGAAGAAAUCUAAUGUCUUCUCCUCCAGACCCUCCAAGACUCUCUGUCUUCGCUUCUCUGAGCUCAACAUGCCCACUUCCUCCAACUGCUCCCUCUUAAGGCGUGGGCUUCAUUGGCUGGAAAAUCUGCAAAACUACAAGUGAACCUGACCCCCACCCACACAUCUUCAAACAAGGCCAUGGCCUAGAAAAUACCUGGAAAUCAAGGGUGCGCGCCGCCUCUCCCCUGUUGACUUUCAUCCCUGCUUAGCCAUCGCUGAUGUUAUCUCUGGACUGCCCAUGCAGGUAAAUAAGGAGUGAAUGAUUAGCGUAUUUCCAGAGAAAGCCUGAGCCCUGCAAAGGCCCUCAU